GUCACGUGGCCUGUCCCUACUCCCUAUGCAGCAUCUUCCCGGCUUCCUGCUUCCAAACCAGGGCCCCGAACGCUAGACACCUUUAGUGCAAUUAAAAUGCCAACACAAGAAGAGUCAUCCAGUGUGCAAGCUUUAAUCAGUGUUGCAUAGAAAUCCCUGUAGUUAACGUGUUCCUGCAGAACGCUUUCCUUCUAGUGUUCCACGCGGGAUGGCGUCCUCAUUUGGGUGAAACCGACACAGGAAUGAGCCGCGGGGUGCCUCUCAGUUGUGUUUCCGCCCUAAGGAAGGGAAUGAGAAAGGGGCCCUUUAAGAGCUGAGUGUUUCCUGAAGUCACUUAACCUCUCCUUGGGGUCGGCCUGCUCCUUUGUAAUGAGAUAUGCAGGGUGGAUGGUGCUUAGACCAUCGAGGUCCUUUUGACUUAUGUGAAUCCAUCCAUCCGUUUAUCCCAUUUAUCACCCACCCCUCCGCAAGUUCACCCAGUCCGUCCAUUUACCCGACAUUAAUCCAGGCUGCCCAUCGAGCCCAGACGUCCGUUCUUGCAUCAGUUGGUCCAUUCAAUUACUCCCUCCAUCCAAUUAACCGUUCGAUCCGUUCAUCUACCCAUCUUCCAGCCACCCAGCAACCAGUGUUUGACCAGUUCAUCAAAUGCCCACCCUCCCAUCAAUACUCAUACCUCCAUCUUUCCAACUACGUCCAACCAAGUCACCAUCCGUUCACCAUCCACGUCCUUCCAGCCACGUCCAACUAUCGUGGAUCAACCGUUACCCAACCAACUAAUUUCUUUCUCCCACCAGUGCAUCGAUCCAGUUCAGCUAACCACAUCCAUUCGAGUUGCUGGUCAUUCAACAAGCAUUUCACUCCACCCUCCCUCCCUCCAUCUCUCCCUCCCUCCAUCCCUCCCUCCAUCUCUCCAUUCCUCCCUCCAUCUCUCCCUCCCUCCAUCCAUCCCUCCCUCCCUCCCUCCCUUCCUCCCUCCAUCCACUCAAGCAAUCACGUAACCCUUCUAUCACCCAUGCCUCUACCUAACCAACCUUCUAAUUUAUGGAUCCACCCUGCCUCUCAUCCACCAGCCAAGCUUCCAUCUAGCUAAUCUGCCAUCUGUCCAUCCUCCCAAUAACUCAUCCAAUUUAUCCAAAGGACUAGUCCAGCAAUGCAUCACAUAUACAACCAGCCGGAGCCACCGUUGCCCCUCCCUCUUGGCCCUUGCCUGUCGUUCCUCUGUGUUCCCCCUUGGAGGCUGCAGCCUUCUCCUCCCUGCCCCCGAGGUCCAGCUGGGCUGCCGCCCCUCCCCUGGGGCGCCCUGUGGCCCUUCCCGUUUGAAAGGUUCUUCCUCUUCUUGGAGUAGCUGCAGGAGUGGGUGAUGGGCCGUGCGGGACCGGAGUGGGAGUGCGUGGUGUGACUGUGAUGCUUUGGCACGUUGGGGCUUGACCUCUGGCUGCAGCGGCCAGUGGCGAAACUCUGGCUACAGUUCUGGCAGUGGUGGCUGCAGUCGCACUGGCUGCAGGGACAUCGGACGGAUUAAACGGGAGCCUCCGUGUCCAGCCCUCGGCUCAGGUCCAGCUCACCGGAAGAGCUCAAUAAACGUUGUGUAUGC
Equus caballus (horse) is the source of this 1594-nucleotide long non-coding RNA. The record is from Ensembl. Lineage: Eukaryota; Metazoa; Chordata; Mammalia; Perissodactyla; Equidae.